Long non-coding RNA from Carassius carassius (crucian carp), 479 nucleotides. RefSeq lists it as uncharacterized. The transcript is spliced from 2 exons. Lineage: Eukaryota; Metazoa; Chordata; Actinopteri; Cypriniformes; Cyprinidae. The record is from RefSeq and is a predicted model, not a curated record.
ACUGAGCUGCUGAUACUUAACACAAGCCACACAAAUCCUCUAUUGACAAACUAGUGUCAAGCAUUAACUAAGUAAACAUGAGAUGGUAAUCGACCCUAUUAACUUUCUUAAAGGGAUAAUUCACCCAAAAAUAAAAAUGUUUCCUCCACUGAAUAAAAAACCCUCACAACUCUGACAAACCCGCAAUCCUGAUUUUUUUUUUUCUCUCAGAAUUGCAUUAUAAAAACUCUGAGCUGUGAGCUGUCCAAUUCUGAGGGGGAAAUAAUAAUAUAGAUAGACACAACUGCAAGAAACUCACAAUUCUAAGAAAAAAAUGUCAGAAUUGUAUGUUUAUUUAAAAUGCAAUUCUGAAUUGUGACUAUUUCUUAGAAUUGCAAAUUUACUUCAUGCAGUUCUGAGAAAAAAGUCAGAAUUGCGAGUUUAUAUCUCACAAAUCUGACUUUAUAACUCGUAACUGUGAGUUCAUAUAUAUCGCGAUU